Molecule: ribosomal RNA, 484 nt
Filed under: uncultured bacterium
Lineage: Bacteria
Description: partial 16S ribosomal RNA
Rfam family: Bacterial small subunit ribosomal RNA
Source: RNAcentral
AUUGAACGCUGGCGGCAGGCCUAACACAUGCAAGUCGAGCGGAUGAAGGGAGCUUGCUCCUGGAUUCAGCGGCGGACGGGUGAGUAAUGCCUAGGAAUCUGCCUGGUAGUGGGGGAUAACGUCCGGAAACGGGCGCUAAUACCGCAUACGUCCUGAGGGAGAAAGUGGGGGAUCUUCGGACCUCACGCUAUCAGAUGAGCCUAGGUCGGAUUAGCUAGUUGGUGGGGUAAAGGCCUACCAAGGCGACGAUCCGUAACUGGUCUGAGAGGAUGAUCAGUCACACUGGAACUGAGACACGGUCCAGGGUCCUACGGGAGGCAGCAGUGGGGAAUAGUGGACAAUGGGCGAAAGCCUGAUCCAGCCAGGCCGCGUGUGUGAAGAAGGUCUUCGGAUUGUAAAGCACUUUAAGUUGGGAGGAAGGGCAGUAAGUUAAUACCUUGCUGUUUUGACGUUACCAACAGAAGAAGCACCGGCUAACUUCGUG